CAGAGCACAUUUAACCAGACAGAGUACUGGAUUUCAAUACCGUCAACUCCAGAAAGCAAAAGCUACUCCAGGUCACCCAGCUGGCCUCCUUGGAGAAGGAGGAGGCAGAGGAGUGAUUCCUGCUGGGGGAAGCAGCACGCACACACCUGACAGCCCUGGAGCACAUUCCCUGAGCAGGAGCCAGAAAAGCCCUGCAUCUUCAUUACCUUCCCCUCGAGCCAUCUGGUCUCCCAACCUGACCUUUUUAAGAAAGAUUGGUUAAAAAAACUGGAGCAGUCCCUGAACAGAAGACCUUGUGUGUCAUGUUUAAGCCCAGAGCAAAUUUUUAUGUCCAAGCUGUGAAACCUUGAAAAUAAAGAUUUAUAAUUGAGA
This is a long non-coding RNA of Vidua macroura (Pin-tailed whydah), 372 nucleotides long. RefSeq lists it as uncharacterized. The record is from RefSeq and is a predicted model, not a curated record. The transcript has 3 exons. NCBI's taxonomy places the organism in Eukaryota, Metazoa, Chordata, Aves, Passeriformes, Viduidae.